AAUAGAUACCCUGGUAGUCCAUGCCGUAAACGUUGGGCACUAGGUGUGGGGCUCGUUCCACGAGUUCCGUGCCGCAGCAAACGCAUUAAGUGCCCCGCCUGGGGAGUACGGCCGCAAGGCUAAAACUCAAAGGAAUUGACGGGGGCCCGCACAAGCGGCGGAGCAUGCUGAUUAAUUCGAUGCAACGCGAAGAACCUUACCAAGGCUUGACAUAUACCGAAAACUCAUGGAGACAUGGGGUCCGCAAGGGCGGUAUACAGGUGGUGCAUGGUUGUCGUCAGCUCGUGUCGUGAGAUGUUGGGUUAAGUCCCGCAACGAGCGCAACCCUCGUCCUAUGUUGUCAGCGCGUUAUGGCGGGGACUCAUAGGAGACUGCCGGGGUCAACUCGGAGGAAGGUGGGGAUGAGGUCAAAUCAUCAUGCCCCUUAUGUCUUGGGCUUCAAGCAUGCUACAAUGGCCGGUACAAAGGGGCUGCGAUACCGGCAAGGUGGAGCGAAUCCCAAAAAGCCGGUCUCAGUUCGGAUUGGGGU
This 529-nucleotide ribosomal RNA is filed under the name uncultured bacterium. RNAcentral describes it as "bacterial SSU rRNA". It matches the Rfam family "Bacterial small subunit ribosomal RNA", at positions 777 to 1304 of the family's 1533-position model. The record is from RNAcentral.